RNAcentral lists this non-coding RNA (30 nucleotides) under Mus musculus (house mouse). The record is from RNAcentral. Lineage: Eukaryota; Metazoa; Chordata; Mammalia; Rodentia; Muridae. RNAcentral also lists the same sequence under 1 other name.
UGGAAAGCUGACUGGGCCAUGGGCCUUGGU